This 330-nucleotide unclassified non-coding RNA is filed under the name soil metagenome. RNAcentral's name for it is "partial contains 5.8S ribosomal RNA, internal transcribed spacer 2, and large subunit ribosomal RNA". The stretch from base 1 to 120 matches the Rfam family "5.8S ribosomal RNA", at positions 35 to 154 of the family's 154-position model. The record is from RNAcentral.
GAUGAAGAACGCAGCGAAAUGCGAUAAGUAAUGUGAAUUGCAGAAUUCAGUGAAUCAUCGAAUCUUUGAACGCACAUUGCGCCCCCUGGUAUUCCGGGGGGCAUGCCUGUUCGAGCGUCAUUUCACCACUCAAGCCUCGCUUGGUAUUGGGCAACGCGGUCCGCCGCGUGCCUCAAAUCGUCCGGCUGGGUCUUCUGUCCCCUAAGCGUUGUGAAACUAUUCGCUAAAGGGUGUUCGGGAGGCUACGCCGUAAAACAACCCCAUUUCUAAGGUUGACCUCGGAUCAGGUAGGGAUACCCGCUGAACUUAAGCAUAUCAAUAAGCGGAGGA